GCGAGGAUAGCCAAGUCUGGUCUACCUCUUUUCGUGACGAAAAGGGAGACAGAAAAAGGCGCAAGAGCAUUGAGUGCUGAUGAAACGAAAAGCGUUUCCAUGAUUGCGAAACUCAAGCUUGUCGGUUAGUCCGUUCGCAGGUUCAAAUCCUGCUCCUCGCA
This 161-nucleotide transfer RNA is filed under the name Candidatus Aenigmatarchaeota archaeon. RNAcentral's name for it is "tRNA-OTHER". The record is from RNAcentral. Lineage: Archaea; Nanobdellati; Candidatus Aenigmatarchaeota.